RNAcentral lists this transfer RNA (73 nucleotides) under Felis catus (domestic cat). It matches the Rfam family "tRNA". Rfam says of the family: Transfer RNA (tRNA) molecules are approximately 80 nucleotides in length. Lineage: Eukaryota; Metazoa; Chordata; Mammalia; Carnivora; Felidae. The record is from Rfam by way of RNAcentral. RNAcentral also lists the same sequence under 4 other names.
GCCUGGCUGGCUCAGUCAGUAGAGCAGGAGACUCUUGAUCUUGGGGUGGUGAGUUCAAGCCCCGUGUUGGGCA